RNAcentral lists this ribosomal RNA (497 nucleotides) under uncultured bacterium. RNAcentral describes it as "partial 16S ribosomal RNA". It matches the Rfam family "Bacterial small subunit ribosomal RNA", at positions 28 to 507 of the family's 1533-position model. The record is from RNAcentral.
GAUGAACGCUGGCGGCGUGCCUAAUACAUGCAAGUCGAGCGAACGGACGAGAAGCUUGCUUCUCUGAUGUUAGCGGCGGACGGGUGAGUAACACGUGGAUAACCUACCUAUAAGACUGGAAUAACUUCGGGAAACCGGAGCUAAUACCGGAUAAUAUUUUGAACCGCAUGGUUCAAAAGUGAAAGACGGUCUUGCUGUCACUUAUAGAUGGAUCCGCGCUGCAUUAGCUAGUUGGUAAGGUAACGGCUUACCAAGGCAACGAUGCAUAGCCGACCUGAGAGGGUGAACGGCCACACUGGAACUGAGACACGGUCCAGACUCCUACGGGAGGCAGCAGUAGGGAAUCUUCCGCAAUGGGCGAAAGCCUGACGGAGCAAAGCCGCGUGAGUGAUGAAGGUCUUCGGAUAGUAAAACUCUGUUAUUAGGGAAGAACAUAUGUGUAAGUAACUGUGCACAUCUUGACGGUACCUAAUCAGAAAGCCACGGCUAACUACGUG